UACGUAGGGUGCAAGCGUUGUCCGGAAUUAUUGGGCGUAAAGGGUGCGUAGGCGGUUUGGCAAGUCUGAUGUGAAAUCUAUGGGCUCAACCCAUAGUCUGCAUUAGAAACUGUCGGGCUUGAGUAUGGGAGAGGUGAGUGGAAUUUCCGGUGUAGCGGUGAAAUGCGUAGAUAUCGGAAGGAACACCUGUGGCGAAAGCGGCUCACUGGACCAUUACUGACGCUGAUGCACGAAAGCUAGGGGAUCAAACAGG
RNAcentral lists this ribosomal RNA (253 nucleotides) under uncultured bacterium. Its description in RNAcentral is "partial 16S ribosomal RNA". It matches the Rfam family "Bacterial small subunit ribosomal RNA", at positions 524 to 776 of the family's 1533-position model. The record is from RNAcentral.